Molecule: ribosomal RNA, 417 nt
Filed under: uncultured Thermus sp.
Lineage: Bacteria; Thermotogati; Deinococcota; Deinococci; Thermales; Thermaceae
Description: bacterial SSU rRNA
Rfam family: Bacterial small subunit ribosomal RNA
Source: RNAcentral
AUGGCCGGCCACAGGGGCAUUGAGACACGGGCCCCACUCCUACGGGAGGCAGCAGUUAGGAAUCUUCCGCAAUGGACGGAAGUCUGACGGAGCGACGCCGCUUGGAGGAGGAAGCCCUUCGGGGUGUAAACUCCUGAACUGGGGACGAAAGCCCCGGAUAGGGGGAUGACGGUACCCAGGUAAUAGCGCCGGCCAACUCCGUGCCAGCAGCCGCGGUAAUACGGAGGGCGCGAGCGUUACCCGGAUUUACUGGGCGUAAAGGGCGUGUAGGCGGCCUGGGGCGUCCCAUGUGAAAGGCCACGGCUCAACUGUGGAGGAGCGUGGGAUACGCUCAGGCUAGAGGGUGGGAGAGGGUGGUGGAAUUCCCGGAGUAGCGGUGAAAUGCGCAGAUACCGGGAGGAACGCCGAUGGCGAAGG